RNAcentral lists this ribosomal RNA (486 nucleotides) under uncultured bacterium. Its description in RNAcentral is "partial 16S ribosomal RNA". It matches the Rfam family "Bacterial small subunit ribosomal RNA", at positions 30 to 507 of the family's 1533-position model. The record is from RNAcentral.
AUUGAACGCUGGCGGCAUGCCUUACACAUGCAAGUCGAACGGCAGCACGGGUGCUUGCACCUGGUGGCGAGUGGCGAACGGGUGAGUAAUACAUCGGAACAUGUCCUGUAGUGGGGGAUAGCCCGGCGAAAGCCGGAUUAAUACCGCAUACGAUCUACGGAUGAAAGCGGGGGACCUUCGGGCCUCGCGCUAUAGGGUUGGCCGAUGGCUGUUUAGCUAGUUGGUGGGGUAAAGGCCUACCAAGGCGACGAUCAGUAGCUGUUCUGAGAGGACGACCAGCCACACUGGGACUGAGACACGGCCCAGACUCCUACGGGAGGCAGCAGUGGGGAAUUUUGGACAAUGGGCGAAAGCCUGAUCCAGCAAUGCCGCGUGUGUGAAGAAGGCCUUCGGGUUGUAAAGCACUUUUGUCCGGAAAGAAAUCCUUGGCCCUAAUACGGUCGGGGGAUGACGGUACCGGAAGAAUAAGCACCGGCUAACUACGUG